GCGCCGUUGGUGUAGCGGUAACACACAACCUGUGAAUUGUUAUUGUUAAUCCAGGGAUUUUACGUUGGGUCCCGGGUUCGAGCCCCGGACGGCGCA
Mycena epipterygia is the source of this 96-nucleotide non-coding RNA. The record is from the annotation of a GenBank genome assembly. NCBI's taxonomy places the organism in Eukaryota, Fungi, Basidiomycota, Agaricomycetes, Agaricales, Mycenaceae.